UUAGUGGCGAACGGGUGAGUAACACGUGAGUAACCUGCCCCUGACUCUGGGAUAAGCCCGGGAAACUGGGUCUAAUACCGGAUAUGACUUCCUACUGCAUGGUGGGUUGUUGAAAGAUUUAUCGGUGGGGGAUGGACUCGCGGCCUAUCAGCUUGUUGGUGAGGUAAUGGCUCACCAAGGCGACGACGGGUAGCCGGCCUGAGAGGGUGACCGGCCACACUGGGACUGAGACACGGCCCAGACUCCUACGGGAGGCAGCAGUGGGGAAUAUUGCACAAUGGGCGGAAGCCUGAUGCAGCGACGCCGCGUGAGGGAUGACGGCCUUCGGGUUGUAAACCUCUUUCAGUAGGGAAGAAGCCGAAAGUGACGGUACCUGCAGGAAGAAGCGCCGGCUAACUACGUGCCAGCAGCCGCGGUAAUACGUAGGGCGCAAGCGUUAUCCCGGAUUUAUUGGGCGUAAAGAGCUCGUAGGCGGUUUGUCGCGUCUGCCGUGAAAGUCCGAGGCUCAACCUCGGAUCUGCGGUGGGUACGGGCAGACUAGAGUGAUGUAGGGGAGACUGGAAUUCCUGGUGUAGCGGUGAAAUGCGCAGAUAUCAGGAGGAACACCGAUGGCGAAGGCAGGUCUCUGGGCAUUUACUGACGCUGAGGAGCGAAAGCAUGGGGAGCGAACAGGAUUAGAUACCCUGGUAGUCCAUGCCGUAAACGUUGGGCACUAGGUGUGGGGGACAUUCCACGUUUUCCGCGCCGUAGCUAACGCAUUAAGUGCCCCGCCUGGGGAGUACGGCCGCAAGGCUAAAACUCAAAGGAAUUGACGGGGGCCCGCACAAGCGGCGGAGCAUGCGGAUUAAUUCGAUGCAACGCGAAGAACCCUUACCAAGGCUUGACAUGUGCCAGACCGCUCCAGAGAUGGGGUUUCCCUUCGGGGCCUGGUUCACAGGUGGUGCAUGGUUGUCGUCAGCUCGUGUCGUGAGAUGUUGGGUUAAGUCCCGCAACGAGCGCAACCCUCGUUCCAUGUUGCCAGCACGUAGUGGUGGGGACUCAUGGGAGACUGCCGGGGUCAACUCGGAGGAAGGUGGGGAUGACGUCAAAUCAUCAUGCCCCUUAUGUCUUGGGCUUCACGCAUGCUACAAUGGCCGGUACAAUGGGUUGCGAUACUGUGAGGUGGAGCUAAUCCCUAAAAGCCGGUCUCAGUUCGGAUUGGGGUCUGCAACUCGACCCCAUGAAGUCGGAGUCGCUAGUAAUCGCAGAUCAGCAACGCUGCGGUGAAUACGUUCCCGGGCCUUGUACACACCGCCCGUCAAGUCACGAAAGUUGGUAACACCCGAAGCCGAUGGCCUAACCACCUUGUGUGGGGGGAGUCGUCGAAGGU
RNAcentral lists this ribosomal RNA (1369 nucleotides) under Arthrobacter sp. W53. RNAcentral's name for it is "bacterial SSU rRNA". It matches the Rfam family "Bacterial small subunit ribosomal RNA", at positions 92 to 1463 of the family's 1533-position model. The record is from RNAcentral. Lineage: Bacteria; Bacillati; Actinomycetota; Actinomycetes; Micrococcales; Micrococcaceae.